UCUAUUAUGGCAGAAUAGUGCAAUGAACCUAAAAUUCAAACAUAAAGUUAAACUUUUUUUAGAA
RNAcentral lists this transfer RNA (64 nucleotides) under Iolania perkinsi. RNAcentral's name for it is "tRNA-Leu". Lineage: Eukaryota; Metazoa; Arthropoda; Insecta; Hemiptera; Cixiidae. The record is from RNAcentral.